This 253-nucleotide ribosomal RNA is filed under the name uncultured bacterium. RNAcentral describes it as "partial 16S ribosomal RNA". It matches the Rfam family "Bacterial small subunit ribosomal RNA", at positions 524 to 776 of the family's 1533-position model. The record is from RNAcentral.
UACGGAGGGUGCAAGCGUUGUCCGGAAUCACUGGGCGUAAAGGGCGCGUAGGCGGCUCGGUAAGUAGGGGGUGAAAUCCUGCGGCUCAACCGCAGGGCUGCCUUCUAAACUGUCGAGCUCGAGCACGGUAGAGGCAGAUGGAAUUCCCGGUGUAGCGGUGGAAUGCGUAGAGAUCGGGAAGAACAUCAGUGGCGAAGGCGGUCUGCUGGGCCGUUGCUGACGCUGAGGCGCGACAGCGUGGGGAGCCAACAGG